RNAcentral lists this ribosomal RNA (674 nucleotides) under uncultured bacterium. RNAcentral describes it as "bacterial SSU rRNA". It matches the Rfam family "Bacterial small subunit ribosomal RNA", at positions 9 to 722 of the family's 1533-position model. The record is from RNAcentral.
AAGUUUGAUCAUGGCUCAGGAUGAACGCUGGCGGUAUGCCUAACACAUGCAAGUCGUACGAGAGUCUUUAACUCAAGUGGCGGACGGGUGAGUAACACGUGAGAAUCUGCCUUUAGGAGGGGGAUAACAACUGGAAACGGUUGCUAAUACCCCAUAUGCUUUCGAGUGAAAUAGAUUUAUCUGCCUAGAGAGGAGCUCGCGGCUGAUUAGCUUGUUGGUAGGGUAAUGGCCUCCCAAGGCGACGAUCAGUAUCUGGUUUGAGAGGACGAUCAGACACACUGGAACUGAGACACGGUCCAGACUCCUACGGGAGGCAGCAGUGGGGAAUUUUCCGCAAUGGGCGAAAGCCUGACGGAGCAAUACCGCGUGAGGGAAGACUGCCUAUGGGUUGUAAACCUCUUUUCUCAGGGAGGAACUCAAUGACGUGUACCUGAGGAAUAAGCAUCGGCUAACUCCGUGCCAGCAGCCGCGGUAAGACGGAGGAUGCAAGUGUUAUCCGGAAUCACUGGGCGUAAAGCGUCUGUAGGUGGUUUAAUAAGUCAACUGUUAAAUCUUGAGGCUCAACUUCAAAAUCGCAGUCGAAACUAUUAGACUAGAGUAUAGUAGGGGUAAAGGGAAUUUCCAGUGGAGCGGUGAAAUGCGUAGAGAUUGGAAAGAACACCGAUGGCGAAGGC